This is a long non-coding RNA of Polyodon spathula (Mississippi paddlefish), 320 nucleotides long. RefSeq lists it as uncharacterized. NCBI's taxonomy places the organism in Eukaryota, Metazoa, Chordata, Actinopteri, Acipenseriformes, Polyodontidae. The transcript is spliced from 3 exons. The record is from RefSeq and is a predicted model, not a curated record.
GUUUGUGGAAGGAAGCCAAGCGAGGGGGUGUUUGCAAUUGUUUUACAAAGACUACGAGGGACAGAGCUCCUUAAACCAGGUCUGUGAGGUUGAGAAGGUCUCCACAGUCUGGAGUCUGGUCUCUGAGAAGCUCAACAUACCUGUCAAUCAACAGGGACUCCUCUACAAAGGCAAGGCGCUGGCAGGAUUACGAGCAGAGCCUGCGCUUGUUGAGUCUGGAUGAUAUGGAGCAGCUGGCGACCCACAUGCUUCACCCUGAGGCUGUGGAGUGCAUGGAGCUGUCCCUCCUGGACUGAGGAAUACUGCUGCUGCCCGCUGCC